Molecule: ribosomal RNA, 253 nt
Filed under: uncultured bacterium
Lineage: Bacteria
Description: partial 16S ribosomal RNA
Rfam family: Bacterial small subunit ribosomal RNA
Source: RNAcentral
UACAGAGGUGGCAAGCGUUGUUCGGAAUUACUGGGCGUAAAGGGCGCGUAGGCGGUCUUGUAAGUCUCGUGUGAAAUCCCUCGGCUUAACUGAGGAACUGCACGGGAUACUGCAUGACUUGAGAUCGGGAGAGGGAAGCGGAAUUCCGGGUGUAGCGGUGAAAUGCGUAGAUAUCCGGAGGAACACCGGUGGCGAAGGCGGCUUCCUGGACCGACACUGACGCUGAGGCGCGAAAGCUAGGGGAGCAAACAGG